AGCUCCAAUAGCGUAUACUAAUGUUGUUGCAGUUAAAAAGCUCGUAGUCGGAUUUCAGAUUUCUUUUGACAUGCUUUCAAGGCUUGUUACAAGACAUCUUCUUUGACAGAAGGCUUCUUGGUAUUCAAUUACUGAGUUGUACGACUGUCUCUUUUACUUUGAGAAAAUUAGAGUGUUCAAAGCAGGUUCAUCGCCUGAAUAUUACUCUUGGAAUAAUACUAUAGGACUCUGUCUCUAGUUUGUUGGUUUACUGGAGCCGGGGUAAUGAUUAAUAGCGACGGUUGGGGUCAUUCGUACUGCAAAGCGAGAGGUGAAAUUCUUGGACCUUUGUAUGACGAACAACUGCGAAAGCAUUUGACUAGGACGUUCGCG
This 372-nucleotide ribosomal RNA is filed under the name uncultured eukaryote. Its description in RNAcentral is "SSU rRNA". It matches the Rfam family "Eukaryotic small subunit ribosomal RNA", at positions 587 to 972 of the family's 1831-position model. The record is from RNAcentral.